AAUUUCUUAAAACUUUGGCUCGUGCCAAAAUCAUUCUCAUACUCAGUUAUCAAGGAUACCUUGGCCUAGGGCUAUCCCAACCGAGUCCACCAAGGCUAUUUAAAAAGUCAUGUACGCAUAAAUCAUGUUUUUAUUUUGAAAACAUAGUCGUUCCUUGGCGUUGGUUGAGUUCACCCUCACGUGGUGGUUUGGCGUGAAGUGAACUCUAAAGGUUGUACCUUAGGAGUUACCCUACGCGCCUCCCCAAUCGAGGUAAGAAUAUAACAGGAUUUCGUGCCCCUCUAAUAGGCUGGUCCACAGAACCCGUCCACUGCAGCAAUCUAAACCCACCAUACAAUAAAAUCUCAACCGCAUGACAUGGCAAUUAUAUCACAAUCCAGCCUCUCAAGGCUAAAUACACGGUUCAUAUAUUUCAACACAAAUACUAAUUCAGUCAUUCAUGCCAAUAUUAUCAUAAGCCAUUCAAUUCAAACCAUGAUUUAUAACACAGUAAAUAGUCUCCAAUUACUCCAUUUUCAAAACCAUCAUUCAAUUUCAAGACAAUUUAUAAAGUUAUUUCAUUUAAUCACAUUUUGCUUAUAAAACAUAAAGAUUUACCAUUUAAACUCAUUUUCCAUAAAAUCACAAAAACGAAUUAAAAUUCACUUCAGAUAAUCAAGAUGAUGAUAAGGUUACUCACUAUUUCGAGAGUCGAAUUUCGAGUACUCUGAUUCUUGAUCCUCGGGUACUAUCUUUUUACUUUUGCUAGAAAGCUCACCACCUAGAUAUAAUGCACAAUAAGCCAUCUACUACAUUUGUGCUAAACCGUUGUAAAACCAAUUCAGGCUUUAUACUAAUGCAUGAAAUGGGAUGUGAAAUACUUGGGUAACUAUCUAAAUACGGUGUUCUACACAAAUUCAAUUGGGUACCUAAAUAAGACGGUAUUGGCCUAAUUCGAUCUAUCACCCGAUUAAUUGGCCAAUACGUCCAAUUCAACUCCAAAUAAUUCCAUUUUUCUUCCAAUUCUCCAAAUCACCAAACACAAGUCAAAUAACAUAAAAUUUAGCAAAACCAUCCUUACAUUUCUUCUUGAGAAUUUCGGCCAUGGUGAGUGCAUCAACACUAUGAUUUUUCCUACUUGAUUUUCUCACCAUAAUUCAUCAUUUCCUAACCAAUUCACUUGAAAUAAAAUCAAAUCCACCAUCCACACUCUACAUGGAAAAUUCGGCCAAUGAUGGGUGAUGGGCGAAAAUGAAUUUUUCUUGUUGGCUUUUCAUGCUACACAUCACUAACUAACUAAAAACACUAAAAUACAUUGAAAUCUAACCAAAACAACCAUCAAAAUCUCUCUCUAAGUGUUCAGCCAGCAAGAUACCCAUCAUGAUUUCAUAUGAUUCAACCAUGAAAAAUAAGAAAAAAUGCUUAAGAAAGAGAGAUAUCAAGCUUAAUUGAAAAAUCUUACCUUUUUUUCACUUGUUUCCUUGAAUUUUCACACUUUUCCCUUGAAUUUUUCCAUCUAGGGUUUUGUUCUUCCUUUUCUUCCUUUGUUCUUGCUUUAGCCGGC
Molecule: long non-coding RNA, 1543 nt
Filed under: Theobroma cacao (cacao)
Lineage: Eukaryota; Viridiplantae; Streptophyta; Magnoliopsida; Malvales; Malvaceae
Description: long non-coding RNA (TCAC_LNC004800)
Source: RNAcentral